GAAGGCAUCUUCUGGGGUGGAAAGAACCCCGGUCAAGGAUGAGCUCGCGGCCUAUCAGCUAGUCGGUGAGGUAAUGGCUCACCAAGGCGACGACUGGUAGCCGGCCUGAGAGGGUGACCGGCCACACUGGGACUGAGACACGGCCCAGACUCCUACGGGAGGCAGCAGUCGGGAAUAUUGCACAAUGGGCGCAAGCCUGAUGCAGCAACGCCGCGUGAGGGACGACGGCCUUCGGGUGUUAAACCUCUAUUAGUAGGGAAGAAGCGACUGGGUUUUCCUGGGAGUGACGGUACCUGCAGAAAAAGCACCGGCUAACUACGUGCCAGCAGCCGCGGUAAUACGUAGGGUGCAAGCGUUGUCCGGAAUUAUUGGGCGUAAAGAGCUCGUAGGCGGUUUGUCGCGUCUGCUGUGAAAACCCGAGGCUCAACCUCGGGCCUGCAGUGGGUACGGGCAGACUAGAGUGCGGUAAGGGGAGAUUGGGAAUUCCUGGUGUAGCGGUGGAAUGCGCAGAUAUCAGGAGGAACACCAAUGGCGAAGGCAGAUCUCUGGGCCGUAACUGACGCUGAGGAGCGAAAGCAUGGGGAGCGAACAGGAUUAAAUACCCUGGUAGUCCAUGCCGUAAACGUUGGGAACUAAAUGUGGGGACCAUUCCACGGUCUCCGUGUCGCACCUAACGCAUUAAGUUCCCCCCCCGGGGAAUACCGCCGCAAGGCUAAAACUCAAAGGAAUUGACCGGGGCCCGCACAAACGGCGGAAACAUGCGGAUUAAUUCCAUGCAACGCGAAAAACCUUACCCAAGCUUGACAUAUACCGGUACCCCCUGGAAAACAGUGCCCCCCAAGGUCGUAUACAGUUGUUGCAUGGUUUCCUCACCUCUGUCCUGAAAUUUUGGUUAAU
RNAcentral lists this ribosomal RNA (897 nucleotides) under Cryobacterium sp. RNAcentral describes it as "bacterial SSU rRNA". It matches the Rfam family "Bacterial small subunit ribosomal RNA", at positions 184 to 1083 of the family's 1533-position model. Lineage: Bacteria; Bacillati; Actinomycetota; Actinomycetes; Micrococcales; Microbacteriaceae. The record is from RNAcentral.